This 26-nucleotide non-coding RNA is filed under the name Rattus norvegicus (Norway rat). The record is from RNAcentral. Lineage: Eukaryota; Metazoa; Chordata; Mammalia; Rodentia; Muridae.
GAGAAGCCAGAAAAUCCCCUUGUAAG